Molecule: ribosomal RNA, 222 nt
Filed under: Triticum aestivum (bread wheat)
Lineage: Eukaryota; Viridiplantae; Streptophyta; Magnoliopsida; Poales; Poaceae
Description: partial small subunit ribosomal RNA
Source: RNAcentral
AUGGUGUUCAACGUCGUCGCGGCUGCGGUGAUCGUCGGCCUGGGCGCUGUGGGCGCCUAUUUCUUCUGGCCGGCGGCUGUCGUUGCCGGUGGGAUGAUGAAGGCGCCCGGCGCGGCCGGCUUCCUCAUCUCCCGCGCCGCAUUUGCGGCCAACCCGCAGAUGUACUUCCAGCUCCUCCACAACGCAGGCGCUGCGGCGGCUGCGGCCGCCUUUGCUGCCUAG